This is a non-coding RNA of Crucibulum laeve, 107 nucleotides long. The record is from the annotation of a GenBank genome assembly. NCBI's taxonomy places the organism in Eukaryota, Fungi, Basidiomycota, Agaricomycetes, Agaricales, Nidulariaceae.
GCCUUCUUGGCUCAGUUGGCUAGAGCGCAGGUCUCAUAGUCUAUGCUAUGCGUGGUCGGAUGAUCCACACAAUCCUGAGGUCGCAAGUUCGAGCCUUGCAGAGGGCA